Frankliniella occidentalis (western flower thrips) is the source of this 2142-nucleotide long non-coding RNA. RefSeq lists it as uncharacterized. The transcript has 3 exons. The record is from RefSeq and is a predicted model, not a curated record. NCBI's taxonomy places the organism in Eukaryota, Metazoa, Arthropoda, Insecta, Thysanoptera, Thripidae.
GCUUCACCCAUUUUGAAACUAACAAAUAUGUGAGGCGAGUUUUUGCUUUGAAUUUUUCAAGUCUUGGAAUGGUUACCAAGGUUCUAUUUAUUCUUGAAAAAUUGUAAUUGUUGUGCCUUAUAUUUUCUUUUUGUAUUGUCUUUGUGAUAUUCUAAAAUUUAAGAUACAAGUUGGCUUUUUCUAGAUUGUUUAAUUUUAUAGAUUAUUCAUAGUUUAUCAUGUGAUAUCAUCAUCUGAAAUUCGCUUUUGGCAGUUUUUUGUGUAUUUUUAUGAGACAGUUUGGUGAGUUCAGUAUUAUCAUAUAUUUAAGAUUUCCGAUCGUCGCCAGAUUAUGUUAUGCACCUUUAUGGCAAUUAUACAAUAUUUUUUUGGUUUGGCUAUACUCUCCGAGCUUAGGGUCAUUAGCUUGUCGCGGUGAGUAUCUCUGCUGUGAUCCAUAGUCGUUGGAGGCUUAGCUUUUUAUUGGACCCUGUAGGUUGCGCUAGCGCUGUUGUUUUACUUGAGCUUGGAACUAUCAGUUGGUAGCCCAAUUCAAUGGUAGAACCUAUUUUGAUAUUAUGAUGAUUACCUAGUGGUAAUAGUAAUUGUUUAGCAAUUGACCUUGUGAGAAUUGUUUGUGCAUUUAUGAUGUACUUGUAACAGUCUCCACUUAAGUUGGGUUUAAUGUAUUUUUUUUUCUAAUCUUUCCUAACCUUGCUUUAUGUUUGGUAUCCUUGGCUACAUGUUUUGUCUUUUUAUUUUUGUUUUAUCGUUGUUUUGUAAUGAAGAACAGUCUAAACUUUACAUCAACCAAGACAAUCGUUUAUUUAAUUUCAUCGGUAUGUCUGAGAUUCUCAAGCAUUAUAUUUUGCACUAACUAGUUCUGUUUAAAUCAAGUUUACCGUUUAAGUUAUAUUUAAACAAAAAAAUUACCACACUUUUUCUUUACAUUUGCGUUGGCCAUGACGAUAACUGUGACGCCCUUUGAUGCCCACGAUCCACGAUGCCUACAUCGUCCAGACGGUGCUGGUUUUCCGCUUUGACAAAUCUCUUGGACGAGAUCCUGGACUUCUUCGAGCUGGUUUUCAAAUAGAAGCUGUAGUAAUCGCAGCUCCAAACGACAUUGCUGUUCGAGCGUGCAGAGCGCUGCCGGAACGACGAGCGCAGUGCAAGGAGGUGUAACCUGUCAGCAAACGAGCUUCGCCUGGGCCUAUGAAGCCUUCGAGUUCCUGGCCGUCAUGUUGAAAUUUUGGCUGUUGCACGAUCACCUCACCCACCUCGUCGUCUUCGGCGUCGCCGUGGACCUCACGUCAGGUAGUUUCCCAGCCGUGCCAGGGAAGGCCUGCAUCGCUCGCGUCUUCAGACAAGUGUUUCGCUUGACGCCCACGUCGUCGUCAGCGGUCAGAUGUUGCAGGCCCUCCGACUUAACAAAGUCAGGCCUGGCGUUCAGCUGUAGUCGUCGUGAGCGGCAGUCACUUCUUCCUGUCGUUUACCAUCACCAUGAGGAUGCCGCUGACGCCUUCUUGCACCUUGGCCAACGUCCCAGGAUAUCGGCGCCGUCACGGUAGCGAUGACACAGUGGGAACCGGCAUUCACCACGUCGGCAACUGUUUUGGUGAAGUUGACUUCUCCGCCAGGCCACAUGGUCGAUAUGAUUUGAAAACGGUGUAAAAGGAUGGGAAGACUGGUUGAUAGGCCUUACUUUGUCAGAGCGGAGGCCUUGCGCGGUCGUGACGCUGUUGGCGUCGUCAGCGGCAGUCAGUUCUUCCUGUCGGGCACCAUCACCAUGAGGACGGCGGCGGCGCCCCCUUGCACCUUGACCAGCCAUCCAAGGCAUCUUCCCCCGUUACGAAAGCGAUGACGCCUUGGGAACUGGCCUCCACCACGUCGGCUUUUAUUUUCCUGAAGAUGACUUCUAUGCCGCGUCAAAUGGGUGCUGAGUACGAGUUCUGGUCGCUGAGCGGCGUCAUGCUGUCCGCACGUUCAGCGUUUGGGCAGGCUGGACGAUAGCGGAGACGGUGCGGCAUCUUGACGCUGUAAACGUCGUGACCGGUCUGUGGCAGUCACUUCAUCUUGUCGGGUACCAUCACCAUGUGGAAGGCGGCUGCGCUUUCUUCCUUGUCCAACGUCCCAAUACAUCGGUCGACGUCAUUUAAGCGGAGU